GACGAACGCUGGCGGCGUGCUUAACACAUGCAAGUCGAACGAAGUGGCGAACGGGUGAGUAACGCGUAAUCAACCUGCCCUUCAGAGGGGGACAACAGUUGGCAACGACUGCUAAUACCGCAUACUUAAGGCGGUGAUUGCGUCUGAUUAGCUAGUUGGAUGGGUAACGGCCCACCAAGGUGAUGAUCAGUAGCCUGUCUGAGAUGAUGAACGGCCACAUUGGGACUGGGACACGGCCCAGACUCCUACGGGAGGCAGCAGUGGGGAAUCUUCCGAAAUGGACGAAAGUCUGGCGGAGCAACGCCGCGUGAGAGAUGACGGCCUUCGGGGUUUAAAGCUCUUUUAAUCGGGACGCGGUACCGGAAUAGAAAGCCACGGCUAACUACGUGCCAGCAGCCGCGGUAAUUC
This 408-nucleotide ribosomal RNA is filed under the name uncultured bacterium. Its description in RNAcentral is "partial 16S ribosomal RNA". It matches the Rfam family "Bacterial small subunit ribosomal RNA", at positions 28 to 526 of the family's 1533-position model. The record is from RNAcentral.